GUGGGGAAUCUUCCGCAAUGGACGAAAGUCUGACGGAGCAACGCCGCGUGAGUGAAGAAGGUUUUCGGAUCGUAAAGCUCUUUCGUUAGGGACGAACGUGCUCUUUGUGAAUAAUGAGGAGUAAUGACGGUACCUAAAUAAGAAGCCACGGCUAACUACGUGCCAGCAGCCGCGGUAAUACGUAGGUGGCAAGCGUUGUCCGGAAUUAUUGGGCGUAAAGCGCGCGCAGGCGGGAUAUCAAGUCUGUCUUAAAAGUGCGAGGCUCAACCUCGUGAGGGGACAGAAACUGGUAUUCUUUAGUGUCGGAGAGGAAAGUGGAAUUCCAAGUGUAGCGGUGAAAUGCGUAGAGAUUUGGAAGAACACCAGUGGCGAAGGCGACUUUCUGGACGAUGUCUGACGCUGAGGCGCGAAAGCUAGGGGAGCGAACGGGAUUAGAAACCCGAGUAGUCC
Molecule: ribosomal RNA, 450 nt
Filed under: uncultured bacterium
Lineage: Bacteria
Description: partial 16S ribosomal RNA
Rfam family: Bacterial small subunit ribosomal RNA
Source: RNAcentral